RNAcentral lists this ribosomal RNA (428 nucleotides) under uncultured prokaryote. Its description in RNAcentral is "bacterial SSU rRNA". It matches the Rfam family "Bacterial small subunit ribosomal RNA", at positions 355 to 774 of the family's 1533-position model. The record is from RNAcentral.
UGGGGAAUAUUGCGCAAUGGGCGAAAGCCUGACGCAGCGACGCCGCGUGGGUGAUGAAGGCCUUCGGGUCGUAAAACCCUGUCGGGUGGAACGAAUCUCCGCUCGGUGAAUAAUCGGGCGGAUUGACGGUACCACAGAAGGAAGCCCCGGCUAACUACGUGCCAGCAGCCGCGGUAAUACGUAGGGGGCGAGCGUUGUUCGGAUUUACUGGGCGUAAAGAGCGCGUAGGUGGUUCGAUAAGUCGGAGGUGAAAUCCCUCGGCUCAACCGAGGAGCCGCGGCCGAUACUGUAGGACUUGAGUGCAGGAGAGGAGAGCGGAAUUCCCAAUGUAGCGGUGAAAUGCGUAGAUAUUGGGAGGAACACCGGUGGCGAAGGCGGCUCUCUGGACUGCUACUGACACUGAGGCGCGAAAGCUAGGGGAGCAAACG